AACGAACGCUGGCGGCAUGCCUAACACAUGCAAGUCGAACGAGACCUUCGGGUCUAGUGGCGCACGGGUGCGUAACGCGUGGGAGCCUGCCCUUAGGUUCGGAAUAACUCCCCGAAAGGGGUGCUAAUACCGGAUAAUGUCGUCGGACCAAAGAUUUAUCGCCUUUGGAUGGGCCCGCGUUGGGUUAGCUAGUUGGUAGGGUAAAAGCCUACCAAGGCGACGAUCCAUAGCUGGUGUGAGAGGAUGAUCAGCCACACUGGGACUGAGACACGGCCCAGACUCCUACGGGAGGCAGCAGUGGGGAAUAUGGGACAAUGGGCGAAAGCCUGAGCCAGCAUUGCCGCGGGAGUGAUGAAGGCCUUAGGGUGGUAACGCGCUUUUACCCGGGAUGAUAAUGACAUUACCGGGAGAAUAAGCCCCGGCAACCUCCGG
This 432-nucleotide ribosomal RNA is filed under the name uncultured bacterium. Its description in RNAcentral is "partial 16S ribosomal RNA". It matches the Rfam family "Bacterial small subunit ribosomal RNA", at positions 29 to 506 of the family's 1533-position model. The record is from RNAcentral.